This 1345-nucleotide long non-coding RNA is filed under the name Olea europaea subsp. europaea. Lineage: Eukaryota; Viridiplantae; Streptophyta; Magnoliopsida; Lamiales; Oleaceae. The record is from RNAcentral.
CCUCAACUUGAUGUGUAUAUGUUGCACAUCCAAAUACUAUAAUGUGAGAAAGGUUUGGAGGCUUACCAGUCCAUAGUUCCUGUGGAGUUUUAAAUCCAAUAGGACUACAUGGAGAUCGAUUUAUAAGAUAAGCAGCUAUAGUCAAAGCCUCAGCCCAAAAACCUUUAGCUAAUCCAAAACUGAUUAGCAUACAUCUAAUUUUGUUCAUUACAGUUCUGUUAAUUCUGUUAGCGAUUGCAUUCUGUUGAGGUGUGUGUUUAACGGUCCUGUGUCUUACAAUUCCCUUUUGUUUACAGAAAUUAUCAAACUAGCAUUACAAGAUUCUAAUCCAUUAUCAGUUGUUAGAGUUAACUUCUUAUCAAGUUGAUUCUCUACCAUCUUUAACCAAGUUCAGAAUUUUUGAAAUGUUCCAGAUUUAGAUUUCAAUGGAUAAUUUCAAACGUUUCUAGAGUAGUCAUCAACUAUAGAAAGGAAGUACUUAAUCCCUCCAAAGGUAAGAUGACUUUAUGGUCCCCAUAAAUCUGAGUAGACAUAGUCCAGGUGCUUAGAGGUGGUAUGGGAUCCAACCUCAAAGCUCACCCUAUGUGACUUGACUUGACACACGUGUUUCACAAAAUUCAAAAGGCUCUAUCAUAUCUUUCCCAAGUAAUUUUUAGUUACUUAGAUACUUCAAAACCCUUAUUUUCUAUAUGUCCCAUCUUUUGUGCCACAAUUAAGAUUUGUUUUCAGAUAUGAUCAAAGAUUUAGUAUCUUGAGGAGUAACAGUCUCUCCCAUAAGAUAGUAUAAUCCAUUUUUUUUUGGGUCCUUUACCAAUUACCAAAGAUCCCUUCAUAACCUUUAAAAUGUUAUUUUCAGACUUGAAAGAAUAUCCCUUAUAUUCAAUAAUUCACAAUUAGAUGAGAUUUCUUUUCAAGUUUAGGACAUGUCUAAUAUUUUUCAAUUGCCUAACAAUACAUUCAUACAUCCUGAUGGAAAUGUCGCCAAUACCAUGGACACUUUGAGAGUUAUUAUCACCCAUAUAAACUUUCUUGGGUUCAACUUCUUUGUAAUUAUUAAACCAAGACUUAUCAGGACACAUAUGAAAUGUAUACCCUGAAUCGAAGAUCUAGUCCUUAUCAUCUUCUUCAUUAAACACAGUCAUCACAAGGAGAUUGUCUAAUUCAGAACCAACGGCAGAAUUAUCAAUUCUCCAUUAUUUUGAUCCUUCAAUUUUUUCUCCCAUUCAAAGAAAUCUCGUUUAAAGUGACCUAACUUCCCAUAAUGGUAACACUUCUUAUUGCUUAUAUCUCUUGAUUUAGAUCUAGUUUUAGAUUUUGAUUUAGAUUUUCUAUGGUUGAAGUUUUU